AACGAACGCUGGCGGCAUGCCUAACACAUGCAAGUCGAACGAGACCUUCGGGUCUAGUGGCGAACGGUUGCGUAACGCGUGGGAACCUGCCCUUAGGUUCGGAAUAACUCCCCGAAAGGGGUGCUAAUACCGGCUAAUGUCUUCGGACCAAAGAUUUAUCGCCUUUGGGUGGGCCCGCGUUGGAUUAGCUAGUUGGUAGGGUAAAAGCCUAACAAGGCGACGAUCCAUAGCUGGUCUGAGAGGAUGAUCAGCCAAACUGGGACUGAGACACGGCCCAGACUCGUACGGGAGGCAGCAGUGGAGAAUAUUGGCCACCGGGCCAAAGCCUGAUCCAGCAAUGCCGCGUGGGGGAAGACGGCAUUAGGGUUGUAAAGCUCUUUUAUCCGGGAUGAUAAUGACAGUACCGGGAGAAUAAGCUCCGGCUAACUCCGUG
Molecule: ribosomal RNA, 433 nt
Filed under: uncultured bacterium
Lineage: Bacteria
Description: partial 16S ribosomal RNA
Rfam family: Bacterial small subunit ribosomal RNA
Source: RNAcentral